Molecule: unclassified non-coding RNA, 2046 nt
Filed under: Hevea brasiliensis (rubber tree)
Lineage: Eukaryota; Viridiplantae; Streptophyta; Magnoliopsida; Malpighiales; Euphorbiaceae
Source: RNAcentral
CUUGAAUUUACAUGCAAAAACUAAUUGUCAUUCAUGGGGAUAAAUUUUACAUCAUUGCCAGCAUAAAGUGAUUUUCUCUAGAAGCAUGGUCAUCCGGACUUCAAAGGCAAAAGCAUGUAAAAUGCUACUAUAAGAUGCAAAGAAAUUAUCAUCAAAAUCUGCCUCCUUUACUACAUUUCUAACAUAAAUAUUAUCAGACCCAAAGUAGACAGAGGGCAGCAGUUCACAUUGCAAAACAAUCCACAGCAAAUGGUAAUAUGUUAAAAGUUUAUAAUUGAGCAUCGCCUGUUUAUUCUCCAGCCUCUGCCAUUAGAUGCCUCAUCUAUCAUGGCUUUUUCCUGUUUAUGUAGUUUCAGACACCACUGUCCUACCCAUAUUGUUUUCAUAUCAAUGAAUAAACCUAAGAUUCUGCUGGUGGAAUUGCAUCCUUCAAGUUGCAAUCAACAUUAUUGGCUGCACCAGAAGAGCUGCAGAAGAGGGGUUCAGUUAUUCUUGGAAGAACAGGUCCAUCAAUGGCAAGCUUGGGCUCAGAUGGAAUGGCUUCUCUCUCAAACAGAGUUACUGGUAAGCUUGUCACUGUUGCAGAAUCAGAGUCUGCCUUCAAGACGUUAGUGGCACCAGAAGGAUUACAAAGCUGGGUUUCAACCAUCCUUUGAGGAGAUCCUUCGUUGGCAAGCUUGGGUGCAGAUGGAACAGCUUCUCUCUCAAACAGAGUCACUGGAAGGCCACCUAUCAGCGCAGACUCUGAGUCUGCCUCUGUAACAUUAGCAGUAUGACUUACUGGCCUCCUAUUUAGGUGGGAUGCAUCAUUUCCACUAAUAACAUUCAUAGCAAGCUCUGGCACUGCAGCUUUAUUUGGAGAAGCCAGUUUUUCCAUCCAAAUUUUUAUACCAAUUGGUUCAGCAGACAUAAUUUCAGGUUCAGUUAUUACACUAACUUGGUUAUGCUCAAGGUUUGGACUUUUAACUCCAUCAUGAAGUGAUUGAUUCGGCUUAAAUUCAUCACUCAUGGCCUGAUGUUGAAUUUGAAGCUCAAGAUUAACAGUUCCACUGGUAGGAAUACAAUCAACAGAAGGUGCUGACUUUGGUACUGAUUUUGAUUGCUCAGUUGCCUCCACCAUUGCAUUAGGAACUUUUGUUAUGGAACCUUCAAAUUCUUUCAGCACUUCAAUUUGUUCAGCAAAUUUAUCAUGACCCAUCUGUGGCAUAAUAGAGGUAGACUGGCUUCCAAGUCCUGAUUCCAGAAUUUGCUGUGAUGCAGCUCUGCCUCCCAAGGAAGAUCCUGUGCUACUCAUUGGCAGGUUAUCAGUCAAAGGAAGGAUAUUAGAGGUAGGUUGGUUUUCCUGUGGAAUGGAAACAGUCGAUUGAAGUUCAGAUGGUAGCCCUUGGACUUGCACUAUUGGUGCAAGGUUUUGGAGUUCAACUGGUUGCUUAUCACUUUGCUCUGAUGAAGGAACAGGGCCAGGGACCAGAGUUUGAGGAUUUGCAACUGAUAUGGGUAUCUCUGUCCUAUUAUACAUUUUUGCUUGUGGAGCCACAUCAUUUGAUGCUGUGAUGGGAGAGAAUCUGCCCGGUAGAAACACAACACCCCUCAGAUGAGUGUCAGUAUCACCUACCUUAACUUUAAGAAGAUAUCCAGCAUCAAAUGAGCCCUCAAUGACACCAGAAACAACUUGACCCACCAUUUCAUCACCAACAGAACCAAUUGUACAUGCAGACUGUUUGUUUUUCUUCAUACUAUCAGCUGCAGGUGUUGCAGGAACGUUCUCACCUUGUGCCAGGCUCUCAUCCUUGCGGGGACGGCCCCGUUUGCGCUUCUGUGGGGGGUCUGCUGGAGAGCAGCCAGUCCCUUGAUUCUGCGGGUUCAUCUUGCAAGUUGAUAGGAGAAGGUUGUUUUUAUACAAUUAAAAUUUUCUUGUAGCGAUGGGAUAUUAGAAUUUGAAUCACUAGUGGAGCCAAAAGGAUGUUCAAGGAAUCAACGACAAAACCGUGUUUCCGCUUCUCUAAUUUUUUUUCUUUUGGCGUUUGUUGUUUGGCUCGUGAGAAA